GUACUCACUUUGGCGGUACAUAUACUAAAAUUGGAAUCAUAUAAAGAUGAUUAGCAUGUCCCCUGCGCGAGGAUGACAUGCAGAAUCGUGAAGCGCUUCAUAUUUUU
Schistosoma curassoni is the source of this 107-nucleotide non-coding RNA. Lineage: Eukaryota; Metazoa; Platyhelminthes; Trematoda; Strigeidida; Schistosomatidae. The record is from Rfam.